CCUUCGGGUGCGUUAAUGGGCGUCGAGCGGCGGACGGGUGAGUAAUGCCUAGGAAAUUGCCUUGAUGUGGGGGAUAACCAUUGGAAACGAUGGCUAAUACCGCAUGAUGCCUACGGGCCAAAGAGGGGGACCUUCGGGCCUCUCGCGUCAAGAUAUGCCUAGGUGGGAUUAGCUAGUUGGUGAGGUAAUGGCUCACCAAGGCGACGAUCCCUAGCUGGUCUGAGAGGAUGAUCAGCCACACUGGAACUGAGACACGGUCCAGACUCCUACGGGAGGCAGCAGUGGGGAAUAUUGCACAAUGGGCGCAAGCCUGAUGCAGCCAUGCCGCGUGUAUGAAGAAGGCCUUCGGGUUGUAAAGUACUUUCAGUUGUGAGGAAGGGGGUGUUGUUAAU
RNAcentral lists this ribosomal RNA (392 nucleotides) under marine sediment bacterium BB0608_AND_7.1_4S0. RNAcentral's name for it is "bacterial SSU rRNA". It matches the Rfam family "Bacterial small subunit ribosomal RNA", at positions 63 to 464 of the family's 1533-position model. The record is from RNAcentral.